AUGACUUUCAUCGCUUUAAUUUCUCCUAGUUUUCUCGUGAAUCCUAAUGGAAAGCCACUGGUAACUGAUUUCUCUGUGCUUCUCUCAGGCGUCACUCCUCCUAAAGUGAGCGUCCUGCCGCCCUCCAGCGCAGAGAUCUCCUCUCUGAACACAGCGACACUGGUGUGUGUGGCCAACAAGGGCUUCCCGUCAGACUGGAGCCUGAGCUGGAAGGUGGACGGGAGCAGCAGAUCUCAGGAGAGCAGCGCUGGGCUCCUGGAGAAGGACGGUCUGUACAGCUGGAGCAGCAGCCUGACUCUCUCUGAGGAGGAGUGGAUGAAGAGCGUCUCGGUGAGCUGUGAGGCCACACGGAGCGGCCAGUCUGCGUCCACUGGAGACACUGUGAGAAGACAGCAGUGUUCAGAGUAG
Non-coding RNA from Megalobrama amblycephala (Wuchang bream), 408 nucleotides. NCBI's taxonomy places the organism in Eukaryota, Metazoa, Chordata, Actinopteri, Cypriniformes, Xenocyprididae. The record is from the annotation of a RefSeq genome assembly.